RNAcentral lists this ribosomal RNA (468 nucleotides) under uncultured bacterium. RNAcentral's name for it is "partial 16S ribosomal RNA". It matches the Rfam family "Bacterial small subunit ribosomal RNA", at positions 28 to 507 of the family's 1533-position model. The record is from RNAcentral.
GACGAACGCUGGCGGCGUGCUUAACACAUGCAAGUCGAACGGAAAGGCCCUGCUUUUGUGGGGUGCUCGAGUGGCGAACGGGUGAGUAACACGUGAGUAACCUGCCCUUGACUUUGGGAUAACUUCAGGAAACUGGGGCUAAUACCGGAUAGGAGCUCCUGCUGCAUGGUGGGGGUUGGAAAGUUUCGGCGGUUGGGGAUGGACUCGCGGCUUAUCAGCUUGUUGGUGGGGUAGUGGCUUACCAAGGCUUUGACGGGUAGCCGGCCCGAGAGGGUGACCGGCCACAUUGGGACUGAGAUACGGCCCAGACUCCUACGGGAGGCAGCAGUGGGGAAUAUUGCACAAUGGGCGGAAGCCUGAUGCAGCAACGCCGCGUGCGGGAUGACGGCCUUCGGGUUGUAAACCGCUUUCGCCAGUGACGAAGCGUGAGUGACGGUAAUGGGUAAAGAAGCACCGGCUAACUACGUG